CAAGAUGAGAUUUCCCAUAGCGUAAGCUAGUAAGAUCCCUGAAAGAUGAUCAGGUUGAUAGGUUCGAGGUGGAAGCAUGGUGACAUGUGGAGCUGACGAAUACUAAUAGAUCGAGGACUUAACCAUAUAAUAUGUA
This 136-nucleotide ribosomal RNA is filed under the name Bacillus cereus. Its description in RNAcentral is "partial 23S ribosomal RNA". It matches the Rfam family "Bacterial large subunit ribosomal RNA", at positions 2800 to 2925 of the family's 2925-position model. The record is from RNAcentral. Lineage: Bacteria; Bacillati; Bacillota; Bacilli; Caryophanales; Bacillaceae.